GAUGAACGCUGGCGGCGUGCCUAACACAUGCAAGUCGAACGGAAAGGCUCUUGCUUGCAGGGCUACUGGAGUGCCGAACGCGGGAGUAACACGAGGGCGAUCUACCCUGCACUUCCGGAGAAGCCUGGGAAACUGGGUUUAAUCUCGGACAGGACACUAGCUUCGAUGCCAUGCUGGAAAGUUUUUCGGCGUGGGCUGGGCUCGCGGCCUAUCUGCUUGUUGGUGGGGUAGUGGCCUACCAACCCCUCGACGGAUAGCCGGCCUUAGAGGGUGUACGGCCUCAAUGGGACUGCGGUACGGCCCAGUCUCCUACGGGAGGCAGCAGUGGGAAAUAUUGCACAGUCGGCGCACGCCUGAUGCAGCGACGCCGCGUGGGUGAUGACGGCCUUCUGGUUAUAAACUCCUUUCGCUAGGGACGAAGCGCAUGUGACGGUACCUGGAGAAGAAGCACCGGCUAACUACGUG
RNAcentral lists this ribosomal RNA (465 nucleotides) under uncultured bacterium. Its description in RNAcentral is "partial 16S ribosomal RNA". It matches the Rfam family "Bacterial small subunit ribosomal RNA", at positions 28 to 507 of the family's 1533-position model. The record is from RNAcentral.